AGGAACUUAAUACAAUGAAGGCGGGGACUUCUUUGUUGGCUUCCCCCAUUUUGCUUUUCAGCUGGCAUUGUUUUACUUGCCAAGUCUUUCAGCUGCUUUGUAAGAAAAUUUGCUUAUUUAUUUGUUAAACUUGAAAUCCCCACCGAGGAAGGGAUGCCUUAAGAUGAAAUACUAUCGACUCUACAGAACUCUCAAGUGCUGCAAAUUAAGUUAACAAAUUGUAGCCAGGGGUUGGUUUUAUCCCGUUUGCAAUUAAAUGAAUAUAUAGUGCCUAGAAGGAAUCUCUUUAUUUAAAGAACAC
This is a non-coding RNA of Drosophila melanogaster (fruit fly), 301 nucleotides long. NCBI's taxonomy places the organism in Eukaryota, Metazoa, Arthropoda, Insecta, Diptera, Drosophilidae. The record is from Ensembl.